Molecule: ribosomal RNA, 667 nt
Filed under: Microcystis aeruginosa LEGE 91094
Lineage: Bacteria; Bacillati; Cyanobacteriota; Cyanophyceae; Chroococcales; Microcystaceae
Description: bacterial SSU rRNA
Rfam family: Bacterial small subunit ribosomal RNA
Source: RNAcentral
CUGGCUCAGGAUGAACGCUGGCGGCGUGCCUAACACAUGCAAGUCGAACGGGAAUCUUCGGAUUCUAGUGGCGGACGGGUGAGUAACGCGUAAGAAUCUAACUUCAGGACGGGGACAACAGUUGGAAACGACUGCUAAUACCCGAUGUGCCGCAAGGUGAAACCUAAUUGGCCUGGAGAAGAGCUUGCGUCUGAUUAGCUAGUUGGUGGGGUAAGAGCCUACCAAGGCGACGAUCAGUAGCUGGUCUGAGAGGAUGAGCAGCCACACUGGGACUGAGACACGGCCCAGACUCCUACGGGAGGCAGCAGUGGGGAAUUUUCCGCAAUGGGCGAAAGCCUGACGGAGCAACGCCGCGUGAGGGAGGAAGGUCUUUGGAUUGUAAACCUCUUUUCUCAAGGAAGAAGUUCUGACGGUACUUGAGGAAUCAGCCUCGGCUAACUCCGUGCCAGCAGCCGCGGUAAUACGGGGGAGGCAAGCGUUAUCCGGAAUUAUUGGGCGUAAAGCGUCCGCAGGUGGUCAGCCAAGUCUGCCGUCAAAUCAGGUUGCUUAACGACCUAAAGGCGGUGGAAACUGGCAGACUAGAGAGCAGUAGGGGUAGCAGGAAUUCCCAGUGUAGCGGUGAAAUGCGUAGAGAUUGGGAAGAACAUCGGUGGCGAAAGCGUGCUAC